CAUCUUUUCUAGUAUUUUUAUUUGAAAUCUAACCUGCCCAAUGAUUUAUUUAAAUGGCCGCGGUAUUUUGACCGUGCAAAGGUAGCAUAAUCAUUAGUUUAUUAAUUGUAGACUUGUAUGAAUGGUUGGACGAAAUAUUAACUGUCUCAUAAUUAUAAUUAUAAUUUAAAUUUUGAGUUAAAAUGCUUAAAUUUUUUUAUAGGACGAGAAGACCCUAUAGAUCUUUAUUUUUAAUUUUUUUAUAUUUUUUGGUUUAAUUUUUUAUAAAUAUUUUAAUUGUUUUGUUGGGGUGAUAUUUAUAUAUGAUUAACUAUUUAUUAUUUAUUUUCAAUUAUUUUUGUAUAUUUGACCUUUUAUUAUUGUUAUAAGAUUUAGAUACCUUAGGGAUAACAGCGUAAUUCUUUUUGAGAGUUCUUAUCGACAAGAGAGAUUGCGACCUCGAUGUUGGAUUAAGAAUAUAGUUAGGUGUAGGUGCUUAAUUGUUAAGUCUGUUCGACUUUUAAAUUCUUAC
Molecule: ribosomal RNA, 511 nt
Filed under: Candovia aberrata
Lineage: Eukaryota; Metazoa; Arthropoda; Insecta; Phasmatodea; Lonchodidae
Description: partial large subunit ribosomal RNA
Rfam family: Bacterial large subunit ribosomal RNA (bases 386-511)
Source: RNAcentral